GGCUCUGCGCGGCGUCAUUUUCCUUCCUCCCCUGGAAAGCAAGGAGCAUAUAGUACUAACUACACUAUAGUACCGUUGGCUAGUUAUUACUUUUUACAAAUGUUAAUAUCUAUUAAUUUUAUGUACAGAUUUUGAGAAAAUCUACCCUGUAUGGUUUUUUACUACAGUGGUACCUCGGGUUACAUACGCUUCAGGUUACAGCCUCCGCUAACCCAGAAAUAGGACCUCGGGUUAAGAACUUUGCUUCAGGAUGAGAACAAAAAUCGUGCUCCAGCGGCGUGGCAGCAGCAGGAGGCCCCAUUAGCUAAAGUGGUGCUUCAGGUGAAGAACAGUUUCAGGUUAAGAACGGAUCUCCAGAACAAAUUAAGUACUUAACCUGAGGUACCACUGUAAUGCCACUGUUCUGUCCCGCAGAGCAAGAGGAGGGCUCCCAGGGUUCGGGAUGCUCAGGUUCCCAAAGAAAACUGUCCACACUACCAGGUUGAUCAGGGCAUAGUAGUUUAUUUAAAGGAAAAGCAAACUCACAACAAAAGGUCUGAAGGCUCCCUUCUUGCCCCUGCUUCCAGCACAUUGUGGGACAGACUCCACAGCAAGGAAAUGGCUUGUCUGCAAGCAGGCGCUGGAGCAAAUGCUUUUUAUACAGUAGAGCAGCCCACAGGUAGCCAUGAUCUCCACCGCACCCAAGGUUCCCUACAGGCAGCUGAUAUUGCUCCAAUUAGGCCUGGAACAUAGUAUCGCACACCCAUGGAUGGUGGUAACUGCCUUCCUUGAGCAGGUCAAUUAGCCUGCUUCCCAAGUGUGUUGCACGAAAGCUUAGCACUACAGCUGCCACUAGUUGUGAGGUUAUCUUGAGUAUUUAGCUAGUGCUAGCAAAGCUCAUGGAACAACUUACCUAUGGUUUAACACAGCCAUUGCUGUGAACCAAAGUAUGUUUAUGAAGUAAGUAAACCUUGUUUUCAACUUACUUAACAAGUUGUUACCUGAUUCCUUCUUAAUGGGGGUGAGAAGGAGGAAGCCAGUUUACUUCAUAACUGGACUUGCUCAAAACAAGGUUUUACAUCCUACUUCCUAUGCUUUUAAUUCUGCUGCCCUUUAGGCUGGCAAAUCCUCUGCAUGAUUACUUGGGAGAAAGUCCUCAUUACACACAGAGAGAAUAUCCCAUUAGUUGGAUAGAUAUACAUAAGGCGCUUUUCAUUUCAAGGUGAACAGGUGUGCAGAAUGGUGGAAAUGUGGUCGGAGUUACACUAGGUCAUUCCCCACCCCGCCUGCAUAUUUAGGGUUUUCAACACAAAGCCUCUUCAGAAAUAUCUUUAUUUAUGUUGAAAUAAUUUGUUUCAGAAUAUGCCCAAAUGCCUCACCUUCUGCUGUAGAUGUUACCACACCAGAGAAUUUAUUAUGGCAGAAGCUUUUAUGAACAAGCGUCUGCUUUGUCAGAUGCAUGAAGUGUUAUCCGAAGUUACCUGAGUGAGGAUAUUCCUAUUUUCGUUGGAGAAAUGUUGGAGCAUAUGGAGUUACGUGAUCCCCAAGCCAAGGAAAUAAGUAACUAUACAACCUUUAGAAGACAUCUGAAGGGAAGGGGGUUUUUUGGCUUUCGAGGUUGAGCAAAGUUUUGUCCCACUUGGGGAGAAGGAAUAAGGUCUCACCUCUCCUGGAGAACAUGGGGAAAAAGACAUGAGAAAACUUAGUCAUGUCACUUAAGAGGAGCAGGGUUUGUGGUUGCUAGUUUUCUCAGGGCCCAGGGUUGCUGGGUCGCGAGGUUCAUUGUGACAUCUCCCUCUGCUAGCUCAUUGGUCGCCAGAGCUCUAGAAGGCCUGGGGAUCUCCUAUGCUUGGAUCAUUCCGAGAGAGAGAGAGAAAGGAGAAGACAUGCUUUCCAGACUGAGAAGUCCUUUCCCACUUGGGAAAAAAGAAUAAAAAAAAUUCCUCUCCCAGAGACCUCCCCCUCGCCCACCGCCUCCCCCUCCCCCACUGGACCCCUCUUUGAGAGGACACAGAAGGCUCUGCAGACCUCCUGCCAUCCUGGUCUGGAAGAAGAUGGCAGGAGGAAGAAAUGCCAAGGAAAACAUGAAGGUAAUGUCUGUUUCCAAGGAUAUGUUCAGAGUAAAUAGGAAACUCCCUAGAAAUCAGUUAUACUUGCUUGCCUUCUCUUCUUUGCCAUUGAGAUGAUAUAAUAGUUGAAGACCUGGAGGGAGAGCAGGGGCUUUGAAGUUCUCCAUCAUCUGUGCAGCAGACCGAGAAGACAAACAGGUCACCUAGUCACAGUCAUCCCUGCUAUGGGCACAGGACUUUGGUUAUAACAUCAAUAUGGAACAGUGGGAAAGGUUAUGGCAGCAAGAUAUCAAAUUUACAUCGUGUUAUAAUUUGAGGGAAAAUACCAUGAAGGUGCUCUACCGAUGGCAUCAUACCCCAGCUAAACUCACCAAAAUGUAUAAAGGAAGCUCACCAAUAUGUUGGCGUUGCAAAAAGGAGAUAGGAUCAUAUUACCAUAUGUGGUGGACUUGUAUGGUGAUAAGCGAGUUUUGGAAUAACAUUUAUGAUGAAUUAAAAAAACUAUUUAAACUUAAAGAAAAGACCGGAGAUUUUCCUUCUAGGAAUAUUACCAACAGAAAUAAAGCAAAACAAAAGACCACUGUUUAUGUACUCAAUUACAGCUGCAAGAAUACUCGUAGCCAGAAGUUGGAAAUGUGAAACAAUACCAACAAUAAUAGACUGGCAAACACGCAUGGUAGAGUAUUUUCACUUAGCAAAGCUGACUAGAAAAGUUAGGGGAGCCCUAAAUCAAAAAGUAUAGAGAGAAUGGAUAUUAUUCAAGGAGUAUAUAAGAUCACACUGUAAAAAUGAAAUUAUCCUGGCAGAAUUGAAUGAUACUUGUGUAUAAUAAAUAAUUGGAAAAAUAUAUUAGAAAAAUAUGCAGAAAAAGCUAUAAAAUAAACUGUGAUAAAAUUAAGAUACUAGAAAAAGUACAACGAGAAUGAUUGGAAGUUUUUGUUCUAGAAGAACAAAACUUUAUUGGUCAAGAUAUGAUAAUACAACCGAUAUUCUUUUAUUUUAAUGUUAAUUCUUCUUUGUUUUUUAUUUAUAUUCUUGUUACUCCUUUUUCAUUUUUGUGUGAAAUUCUGUUGUAAUUAUUUGUAAUGUAUUUGUAUGAUAGUAUUUUAAAUCAAUAAAAUAAAAACAAAAAAACAAAGUCAUCCCUGCUAGGAUGAGAGACAUCCCUGCUAUCUCUUCCAACAGAAACAAUUAGCCAGAGCCAAAGAAUGGCAGUAGGGAUGAUAAUUUAGGUAAACCAAUUUCCUCUCAUGUUCUCCUUCAUAGUAAAGUUUCGGGGUGAGGAGCCAUGGAACUCCUUGGAACUUGCGGAAGGGCUGUACCUUGGUGGUAGGCAGUCUGAUUGACAUACAGAAAGCAGACUGAUGGAAAGGGACGGAGCACCUGCCCCUUCUCAAGUGGGCUGCAAGAGGAAGGAUGCUCCCUCCUUUCCAACCAGCAUAGAAACACUGCUCUCCACCUUUCCACUGCCAGCCCCUGACAGGCUAGUAAGACUUUUUGCAGGCUUGUAACUUUUGUGGGUUAUUCACAGUGCUGUGUUCAUAUUUGGUUCAAUUGUCAUUUGUGUUGGUGACUAACUUUCCCCAUUGCUGGAUGCUAUGCAGGCUUGAGGCCAUCUUUUGGCAGAUCUGCCCUCAUGCUGCCGU
Long non-coding RNA from Podarcis raffonei (Aeolian wall lizard), 3694 nucleotides. RefSeq lists it as uncharacterized. Lineage: Eukaryota; Metazoa; Chordata; Lepidosauria; Squamata; Lacertidae. The transcript is spliced from 5 exons. The record is from RefSeq and is a predicted model, not a curated record.